CAAAUUGUGAACACAGGAUUUUUACUUCUGUGGUGGCGUGGCUUGCUAUUAAAAUGUGGAAAAUACUUUUACACCUUGCGCAAAUUACUGUUGUGGCUGGUUGUCAAGGUUGUCAAGGUCGGGGCGUGUCGGUACAUUGCGGGGACGGCGCCCAUCAGUGGAUGUUUUGCGCUCCGCCGAACAUCACCGUGACAGAGCGAGAGAUUUGACCCCACUGCAAAUUGUAGUACUAAUAGAUGUGAAGAUGCACCUAAAGCUACUUUAAUAAUUAUAUACUUAAAAAAGUGUACAAUGUAAUACUACACACAAUAACAAAUUACAUAGAUCUGUCUGGAUCAUUAGAAGGUUUCCCAAACGUUAAUAACCUCAAACACAGUUCUACUACAUUCCGGGAAAUUACAGUUAGAUCUAAGACAUUAUUAAAAGAAGGGAUGUUCUAAAAUGUUAGAAAAUUAUUCAAUUGUAUUGCAGGUAUGUAUAGAACAUACGAGCAUAGACAGCACACAUCUUUCAACAGUCGUCCACCGACCCGACAGUAUGGACACACAUCCUUAAUACAAGUUCCACAGUGGCAGAUAAUGAAGCUAGCUCACUCCAAAACCAUCGCCAUACGUCCAGGAAACGUUCGAUCGAUUCAAAACUUAAAUUUUGGCUCAUGUUCGGUGUGGUUGCUGGAGGGAUAGUCAUUAUCUGCCUUAUAGGACUAAUCACCUACAAUGUUAUCAAUUGUGACUUAAAGGGACAUGGGAAGAUAAAAGAAUAUGGGCGAUCCAAAGGAAAAGUUCAAAAUAAGUAUUUUCGGGGCGAAACACCAUCCACUUCAACGCUUUUAUCAGCAGAAGAAGCCUAUGAAAGCGUCUAUGACACCAUUAAAAACGUACAGAAAAUAAGAGUUCAGCAACUGUCUUUGUCUACUUUUAAUAUGGAUACUAACAACGCAAAUCCAGUGAGUGGCAUUCAAAAUAACAAUCACGAUGUGUGCAACUUUGAUGGAAUAAAUACCAUUAAAAAGAAUGCUGUGAGUUUUAUCGAACAAAACGAUACCGUUACACAAAAUACAGAAACAUCAAAAACGAGACACAAAACAUGUGUGACAAUAAUAUCGGGUGAAGCCAGAUGCCAAUUAGACGAAGAUAGUGACAACACAUAUGACCAUCUUGUGAACACUCCUAGACGUUCUACACGUCUCAGCAGUAAUUACAGUCACCUCAGUUUUAAAGAUGUAUUAUAAUAGACAAUUUGUGUGGACUUUUGAAUGAUGACAGUGAUCUUAUCUUUUACAAGCUAUGAUUGUAUUAUAUUUUACAUGCUGAUUGAGAACAGUUAAAAUAUUCAAGUUUUCUUUAGAGUUCGAAAUUGUGAGUUCCCAAUGGUAUCAAAUAGUGGAUCGGCCAGUAGGCAAGACAUUACUUUUAAGACCAAGCCUUUUAAUAUUUGUUAGUACGAUUUUUUUCAAAUAAAGUGUUCGCCUGACUGCAUCGGUCUUUAACAUGUUUGAAUUAAUAAAUGCACAUUAUCAAACAUUACCUGUAAAUAAUAUUCAGUUUUGUGUGGUAAUACAUAAAUAUUACCGGGUCUGAUUGAUUGAAGCUUAACGUUAAAGGUCACAUGGUCAGGAAUAAAUUGUUUACAAAGCAGACGAUAAGUAAGUUAAGUUAUUCUAUAAAGUGAUGUCCUUUAUACUCUAUUGUCUUAAAAGAUGAUGCUUGCUCAAAAUGAGACUUCUAAUUUUAUUCAUUAAUACUGGGAUAAUACAUAUUUAAAUCUGAGCGCUGAAACACCAAUUUAAACAUUGACCCCAUCCUCUUUCCCUACCCGUUCCAAGAUGGCAACCCAAACGUUUAUUGUAAAACGAUAUCUUUCUAUUUGUGUUAACUGUUUUUGUUUUCCUUGUAUAUUUCUUUUUGAUUUUCUGUUUGGCGUUCCAAUUUUAUCUCUGUGGUAUUAACAGUGUCAUAUUUAAUAUAUAACUGGUUUGCUCAUCAAUCUCUGUAAUUCAUCUCCAUUACUCAUGUCAGAAAGAGUGGGAACAUGUUUGUUACA
Molecule: long non-coding RNA, 2043 nt
Organism: Mya arenaria
Lineage: Eukaryota; Metazoa; Mollusca; Bivalvia; Myida; Myidae
Exons: 4
Source: RefSeq, a predicted model, not a curated record